RNAcentral lists this ribosomal RNA (2222 nucleotides) under Campylobacter jejuni. RNAcentral describes it as "partial 23S ribosomal RNA". It matches the Rfam family "Bacterial large subunit ribosomal RNA", at positions 716 to 2925 of the family's 2925-position model. Lineage: Bacteria; Pseudomonadati; Campylobacterota; Epsilonproteobacteria; Campylobacterales; Campylobacteraceae. The record is from RNAcentral.
CGAAACGAAGUGAUCUAUCCAUGAGCAAGUUGAAGCUAGUGUAAGAACUAGUGGAGGACUGAACCCAUAGGCGUUGAAAAGCCCCGGGAUGACUUGUGGAUAGGGGUGAAAGGCCAAUCAAACUUCGUGAUAGCUGGUUCUCUCCGAAAUAUAUUUAGGUAUAGCGUUGUGUCGUAAUAUAAGGGGGUAGAGCACUGAAUGGGCUAGGGCAUACACCAAUGUACCAAACCCUAUCAAACUCCGAAUACCUUAUAUGUAAUCACAGCAGUCAGGCGGCGAGUGAUAAAAUCCGUCGUCAAGAGGGAAACAACCCAGACUACCAGCUAAGGUCCCUAAAUCUUACUUAAGUGGAAAACGAUGUGAAGUUACUUAAACAACCAGGAGGUUGGCUUAGAAGCAGCCAUCCUUUAAAGAAAGCGUAAUAGCUCACUGGUCUAGUGAUUUUGCGCGGAAAAUAUAACGGGGCUAAAGUAAGUACCGAAGCUGUAGACUUAGUUUACUAAGUGGUAGGAGAGCGUUCUAUUUGCGUCGAAGGUAUACCGGUAAGGAGUGCUGGAGCGAAUAGAAGUGAGCAUGCAGGCAUGAGUAGCGAUAAUUAAUGUGAGAAUCAUUAACGCCGUAAACCCAAGGUUUCCUACGCGAUGCUCGUCAUCGUAGGGUUAGUCGGGUCCUAAGUCGAGUCCGAAAGGGGUAGACGAUGGCAAAUUGGUUAAUAUUCCAAUACCAACAUUAGUGUGCGAUGGAAGGACGCUUAGGGCUAAGGGGGCUAGCGGAUGGAAGUGCUAGUCUAAGGUCGUAGGAGGUUAUACAGGAAAAUCCGUAUAACAAUACUCCGAGAACUGAAAGGCUUUUUGAAGUCUUCGGAUGGAUAGAAGAACCCCUGAUGCCGUCGAGCCAAGAAAAGUUUCUAAGUUUAGCUAAUGUUGCCCGUACCGUAAACCGACACAGGUGGGUGGGAUGAGUAUUCUAAGGCGCGUGGAAGAACUCUCUUUAAGGAACUCUGCAAAAUAGCACCGUAUCUUCGGUAUAAGGUGUGGUUAGCUUCGUACUAGGAUUUACUCCGAAAGCGAAGAAACUUACAACAAAGAGUCCCUCCCGACUGUUUACCAAAAACACAGCACUCUGCUAACUCGUAAGAGGAUGUAUAGGGUGUGACGCCUGCCCGGUGCUCGAAGGUUAAUUGAUGGGGUUAGCAUUAGCGAAGCUCUUGAUCGAAGCCCGAGUAAACGGCGGCCGUAACUAUAACGGUCCUAAGGUAGCGAAAUUCCUUGUCGGUUAAAUACCGACCUGCAUGAAUGGCGUAACGAGAUGGGAGCUGUCUCAAAGAGGGAUCCAGUGAAAUUGUAGUGGAGGUGAAAAUUCCUCCUACCCGCGGCAAGACGGAAAGACCCCGUGGACCUUUACUACAGCUUGACACUGCUACUUGGAUAAGAAUGUGCAGGAUAGGUGGGAGGCUUUGAGUAUAUGACGCCAGUUGUAUAGGAGCCAUUGUUGAGAUACCACUCUUUCUUAUUUGGGUAGCUAACCAGCUUGAGUUAUCCUCAAGUGGGACAAUGUCUGGUGGGUAGUUUGACUGGGGCGGUCGCCUCCCAAAUAAUAACGGAGGCUUACAAAGGUUGGCUCAGAACGGUUGGAAAUCGUUCGUAGAGUAUAAAGGUAUAAGCCAGCUUAACUGCAAGACAUACAAGUCAAGCAGAGACGAAAGUCGGUCUUAGUGAUCCGGUGGUUCUGUGUGGAAGGGCCAUCGCUCAAAGGAUAAAAGGUACCCCGGGGAUAACAGGCUGAUCUCCCCCAAGAGCUCACAUCGACGGGGAGGUUUGGCACCUCGAUGUCGGCUCAUCGCAUCCUGGGGCUGGAGCAGGUCCCAAGGGUAUGGCUGUUCGCCAUUUAAAGCGGUACGCGAGCUGGGUUCAGAACGUCGUGAGACAGUUCGGUCCCUAUCUGCCGUGGGCGUAAGAAGAUUGAAGAGAUUUGACCCUAGUACGAGAGGACCGGGUUGAACAAACCACUGGUGUAGCUGUUGUUCUGCCAAGAGCAUCGCAGCGUAGCUAAGUUUGGAAAGGAUAAACGCUGAAAGCAUCUAAGCGUGAAGCCAACUCUAAGAUGAAUCUUCUCUAAGCUCUCUAGAAGACUACUAGUUUGAUAGGCUGGGUGUGUAAUGGAUGAAAGUCCUUUAGCUGACCAGUACUAAUAGAGCGUUUGGCUUAUCUUUAAUAAAGCAU